RNAcentral lists this ribosomal RNA (253 nucleotides) under uncultured bacterium. RNAcentral describes it as "partial 16S ribosomal RNA". It matches the Rfam family "Bacterial small subunit ribosomal RNA", at positions 524 to 776 of the family's 1533-position model. The record is from RNAcentral.
UACGUAGGGUGCAAGCGUUAUCCGGAAUUAUUGGGCGUAAAGAGCUCGUAGGCGGUUUGUCGCGUCUGCUGUGAAAUCCCGAGGCUCAACCUCGGGCUUGCAGUGGGUACGGGCAGGCUAGAGUGCGGUAGGGGAGAAUGGAACUCCUGGUGUAGCGGUGGAAUGCGCAGAUAUCAGGAAGAACACCGAUGGCGAAGGCAGUUCUCUGGGCCGUAACUGACGCUGAGGAGCGAAAGCGUGGGGAGCGAACAGG